RNAcentral lists this ribosomal RNA (254 nucleotides) under uncultured bacterium. Its description in RNAcentral is "partial 16S ribosomal RNA". It matches the Rfam family "Bacterial small subunit ribosomal RNA", at positions 524 to 776 of the family's 1533-position model. The record is from RNAcentral.
UACGAAGGGGGCUAGCGUUGUUCGGAAUCACUGGGCGUAAAGCGCACGCAGGCGGAUCGUUAAGUCAGGGGUGAAAUCCCGAGGCUCAACCUCGGAACUGCCUUUGAUACUGGCGAUCUUUGAGUCCGGGAGAGGUGAGUGGAACUCCGAGUGUAGAGGUGAAAUUCGUAGAUAUUCGGAAGAACACCAGUGGCGAAGGCGGCUCACUGGCCUGGUACUGACGCUCAGGUGCGAAAGCGUGGGGAGCAAACAGG